This 94-nucleotide ribosomal RNA is filed under the name Dasyspora frutescentis. RNAcentral describes it as "partial 28S ribosomal RNA". It matches the Rfam family "Eukaryotic large subunit ribosomal RNA", at positions 1 to 93 of the family's 3401-position model. The record is from RNAcentral. Lineage: Eukaryota; Fungi; Basidiomycota; Pucciniomycetes; Pucciniales; Sphaerophragmiaceae.
AAGACCUCAAAUCAGGUGGAAUUACCUGCUGAACUUAAGCAUAUCAAUAAGCAGAGGAAAAGAAACUAACAAGGAUUCCCUUAGUAAUGGCGAA